CCUCAGUAACGGCGAGUGAAGCGGCAACAGCUCAAAUUUGAAAUCUGGCCGUCCCGCGGUCCGAGUUGUAAUUUGUAGAGGAUGCUUCGGGUGCGGCGCCGGUCCAAGUUCCUUGGAACAGGACGUCAUAGAGGGUGAGAAUCCCGUACGUGACCGGUGACCCAGCCCGUGUGAAGCUCCUUCGACGAGUCGAGUUGUUUGGGAAUGCAGCUCUAAAUGGGUGGUAAAUUUCAUCUAAAGCUAAAUACCGGCCAGAGACCGAUAGCGCACAAGUAGAGUGAUCGAAAGAUGAAAAGCACUUUGGAAAGAGAGUUAAAAAGUACGUGAAAUUGUUGAAAGGGAAGCGCUUGCAACCAGACUUGCUCGUGGGUGAUCAGCCGUCCUUCUGGGCGGUGCACUCGCCCGCGAUCAGGCCAGCAUCGGUUUGGGCGGUUGGAUAAAGGCCCCGGGAAUGUGGCUCCCUCCGGGGAGUGUUAUAGCCCGGGGUGCAAUGCGGCCAGCCCGGACCGAGGACCGCGCUUCGGCUAGGAUGCUGGCGUAAUGGUUGUAAGCGACCCGUCUUGAAACACGGACCAAGGAGUCUAACAUCUAUGCGAGUGUUUGGGUGUCAAACCCAUGCGCGCAAUGAAAGUGAACGGAGGUGGGAACCCUCAAGGGCGCACCAUCGACCGAUCCUGAUGUCUUCGGAUGGAUUUGAGUAAGAGCAUAGCUGUUGGGACCCGAAAGAUGGUGAACUAUGCCUGAAUAGGGUGAAGCCAGAGGAAACUCUGGUGGAGGCUCGCAGCGGUUCUGACGUGCAAAUCGAUCGUCAAAUUUGGGUAUAGGGGCGAAAG
This 833-nucleotide ribosomal RNA is filed under the name Umbilicaria phaea var. phaea. Its description in RNAcentral is "partial large subunit ribosomal RNA". It matches the Rfam family "Eukaryotic large subunit ribosomal RNA", at positions 78 to 929 of the family's 3401-position model. The record is from RNAcentral. Lineage: Eukaryota; Fungi; Ascomycota; Lecanoromycetes; Umbilicariales; Umbilicariaceae.